CCAACUUGGCCAUGAACACUGCAGCAGUAAGUCUGCCUCCCUAUAGUGCCUCCUAAGUUGAAACCCCCUUCUGUCACUUACCUGAUUCCAGAGCCGAUGUCCCUCAGCGAUGGUUCAGGUUUAGCCUCUGCUUCAGAAACCUAAAUGCUUUCCUAUGAGGUUUUGGUGAUGGUGAAUGUCCUCAUGCAUAGAGUGGGGACAUCCAGCAUCAGUUAGGCGACCAAUCACUUAGAAUUGAAGAAAAGUCUCACUGUCGACAAUUCUUAUUGAAUAACCCAUCUGAUAAAG
Molecule: non-coding RNA, 288 nt
Organism: Pelobates cultripes (western spadefoot toad)
Lineage: Eukaryota; Metazoa; Chordata; Amphibia; Anura; Pelobatidae
Source: the annotation of a GenBank genome assembly